AGCCCUAGCACAGGUGCUGCAUGGCCGUCGUCAGCUCGUGCCGUGAGGUGUUGGGUUAAGUCCCGCAACGAGCGCAACCCCCGCCGUUAGUUGCCAGCGGUUCGGCCGGGCACUCUAACGGGACUGCCCGCGAAAGCGGGAGGAAGGAGGGGACGACGUCUGGUCAGCAUGGCCCUUACGGCCUGGGCGACACACGUGCUACAAUGCCCACUACAAAGCGAGGCCACCCGGCAACGGGGAGCUAAUCGCAAAAAGGUGGGCCCAGUUCGGAUUGGGGUCUGCAACCCGACCCCAUGAAGCCGGAAUCGCUAGUAAUCGCGGAUCAGCCAUGCCGCGGUCGAAUACGUUCCCGGGCCUU
Molecule: ribosomal RNA, 358 nt
Filed under: uncultured Thermus sp.
Lineage: Bacteria; Thermotogati; Deinococcota; Deinococci; Thermales; Thermaceae
Description: bacterial SSU rRNA
Rfam family: Bacterial small subunit ribosomal RNA
Source: RNAcentral